This 72-nucleotide transfer RNA is filed under the name Monodelphis domestica (gray short-tailed opossum). It matches the Rfam family "tRNA". Rfam says of the family: Transfer RNA (tRNA) molecules are approximately 80 nucleotides in length. The record is from Rfam by way of RNAcentral. Lineage: Eukaryota; Metazoa; Chordata; Mammalia; Didelphimorphia; Didelphidae.
AGCUAGGUGGCUCAGAGGGUAGAGUACUGGACCUGGAAUCCAGAAGACCUGAGUUCAAAUCCAGACUCACUC